UGUACCUACGGGGCGCAGCAGUGAGGAAUAUUGGUCAACGGUCGGGAGACUGAACCAGCCAAGCCGCGUGAGGGAGGAAGGUACAGAGUAUCGUAAACCUCUUUUGUCAGGGAACAAAGGCGGGGACGUGUCCCCGGAUGAGUGUACCUGAAGAAAAAGCAUCGGCUAACUCCGUGCCAGCAGCCGCGGUAAUACGGAGGAUGCGAGCGUUAUCCGGGUUUAUUGGGUUUAAAGGGUGCGCAGGCGGUCUGUUAAGUCAGCGGUCAAAGCCCGGGGCUCAACACCGGCCCGCCGUUGAAACUGGG
Molecule: ribosomal RNA, 305 nt
Filed under: uncultured bacterium
Lineage: Bacteria
Description: bacterial SSU rRNA
Rfam family: Bacterial small subunit ribosomal RNA
Source: RNAcentral